GAAUUCACUAGUGAUUAGAGUUUGAUCCUGGCUCAGAACGAACGCUGGCGGCAGGCUUAACACAUGCAAGUCGAACGGGUGCAGCAAUGCAUCAGUGGCAGACGGGUGAGUAACACGUGGGAACCUUCCUAGGGGUACUGGAACAACUCAGGGAAACUUGAGCUAAUACCGUAUACGUCCGUGAGGAGAAAGAUUUAUCGCCCCUAGACGGGCCCGCGUCGGAUUAGCUAGUUGGUGGGGUAACGGCCUACCAAGGCGACGAUCCGUAGCUGAUCUUAGAGGAUGAUCAGCCACACUGGGACUGAGACACGGCCCAGACUCCUACGGGAGGCAGCAGUGGGGAAUCUUGGACAAUGGGCGCAAGCCUGAUCC
RNAcentral lists this ribosomal RNA (372 nucleotides) under uncultured bacterium. RNAcentral describes it as "partial 16S ribosomal RNA". It matches the Rfam family "Bacterial small subunit ribosomal RNA", at positions 1 to 389 of the family's 1533-position model. The record is from RNAcentral.